AUUGAACGCUGGCGGUAUGCUUAACACAUGCAAGUCGAACGGUAGCAGGCCUUCGGGCGCUGACGAGUGGCGGACGGGUGAGUAACGCGUAGGAAUCUGCCUGAUAGUGGGGGACAACGUGGGGAAACUCACGCUAAUACCGCAUAUGCCCUACGGGGGAAAGCGGGGGCUCUUUGGACCUCGCGCUAUCAGAUGAGCCUGCGUUAGAUUAGCUAGUUGGUAGGGUAAAGGCCUACCAAGGCGACGAUCUAUAGCUGGUCUGAGAGGACGAUCAGCCACACUGGGACUGAGACACGGCCCAGACUCCUACGGGAGGCAGCAGUGGGGAAUAUUGGACAAUGGGCGCAAGCCUGAUCCAGCAAUACCGCGUGUGUGAAGAAGGCCUUAGGGUUGUAAAGCACUUUCAAUGGGGAGGAAAACCUGCCGGUCAAUACCCGGUAGCUUGACAUUACCUAUAGAAGAAGCACCGGCUAACUCCGUGCCAGCAGCCGCGGUAAUACGGAGGGUGCGAGCGUUAAUCGGAAUUACUGGGCGUAAAGCGUGCGUAGGCGGUUCGUUAAGUCAGAUGUGAAAGCCCCGGGCUUAACCUGGGAACGGCAUUUGAAACUGGCGGACUAGAGUUUAGUAGAGGGGAGUGGAAUUUCAGGUGUAGCGGUGAAAUGCGUAGAUAUCUGAAGGAACACCAGUGGCGAAGGCGACUCCCUGGACUAGGACUGACGCUGAGGUACGAAAGCGUGGGUAGCAAACAGGAUUAGAUACCCUGGUAGUCCACGCCGUAAACGAUGUCAACUAGCCGUUGGUCCUAUUUACAGGAUUAGUGGCGCAGCUAACGCAUUAAGUUGACCGCCUGGGGAGUACGGCCGCAAGGUUA
Molecule: ribosomal RNA, 871 nt
Filed under: uncultured bacterium
Lineage: Bacteria
Description: bacterial SSU rRNA
Rfam family: Bacterial small subunit ribosomal RNA
Source: RNAcentral